AGUGAACGCUGGCGGUAGGCCUAACACAUGCAAGUCGAACGGCAGCACAGUAAGAGCUUGCUCUUACGGGUGGCGAGUGGCGGACGGGUGAGGAAUACAUCGGAAUCUACUUUUUCUUGGGGGAUAACGUAGGGAAACUUACGCUAAUACCCCAUACGACCUACGGGUGAAAGCAGCGGAUCUUCGGACCUUGCGCGAUUGAAUGACCCGAUGUCGGAUUAGCUAGUUGGCGGGGUAAAGGCCCACCAAGGCGACGAUCCGUAGCUGGUCUGAGAGGAUGAUCAGCCACACUGGAACUGAGACACGGUCCAGACUCCUACGGGAGGCAGCAGUGGGGAAUAUUGGACAAUGGGCGCAAGCCUGAUCCAGCCAUACCGCGUGGGUGAAGAAGGCCUUCGGGUUGUAAAGCCCUUUUGUUGGGAAAGAAAAGCAGCAGGUUAAUACCCCGCUGUUCUGACGGUACCCAAAGAAUAAGCACCGGCUAACUUCGUG
This 492-nucleotide ribosomal RNA is filed under the name uncultured bacterium. RNAcentral's name for it is "partial 16S ribosomal RNA". It matches the Rfam family "Bacterial small subunit ribosomal RNA", at positions 29 to 507 of the family's 1533-position model. The record is from RNAcentral.